This 202-nucleotide signal recognition particle RNA is filed under the name Vibrio parahaemolyticus. RNAcentral's name for it is "partial signal recognition particle sRNA large type". It matches the Rfam family "Bacterial large signal recognition particle RNA", at positions 8 to 206 of the family's 256-position model. From Rfam's summary of the family: The signal recognition particle (SRP) is a universally conserved ribonucleoprotein involved in the co-translational targeting of proteins to membranes. Archaeal SRP consists of a 7S RNA and homologues of the eukaryotic SRP19 and SRP54 proteins. Lineage: Bacteria; Pseudomonadati; Pseudomonadota; Gammaproteobacteria; Vibrionales; Vibrionaceae. The record is from RNAcentral.
AAGCGGGGAGGUAGCGGUGCCCUGUACCUGCAAUCCGCUCUAGCAGGGCCGAAUCCCUUCUCGAGGUUCGUUUACUUUAAGGCCUGCCUUAAGUAAGUGGUGUUGACGUUUGGGUCCUGCGCAAUGGGAAUUCAUGAACCAUGUCAGGUCCGGAAGGAAGCAGCAUUAAGUGAAACCUCUCAUGUGCCGCAGGGUUGCCUGG